GAUCCUGGCUCAGGAUGAACGCUAGCUACAGGCUUAACACAUGCAAGUCGAGGGGCAGCAUGUUGGUUGCUUGCAACCAACGAUGGCGACCGGCGCACGGGUGAGUAACGCGUAUCCAACCUGCCCUUGUCCAUCGGAUAACCCGUCGAAAGGCGGACUAACACGAUAUGCAGUCCACAGCAGGCAUCUGACGUGGACGAAAUGUGAAGGAGAAGGAUGGGGAUGCG
This 227-nucleotide ribosomal RNA is filed under the name uncultured bacterium. RNAcentral describes it as "partial 16S ribosomal RNA". It matches the Rfam family "Bacterial small subunit ribosomal RNA", at positions 15 to 235 of the family's 1533-position model. The record is from RNAcentral.